RNAcentral lists this ribosomal RNA (622 nucleotides) under Staphylococcus aureus. Its description in RNAcentral is "partial 23S ribosomal RNA". It matches the Rfam family "Bacterial large subunit ribosomal RNA", at positions 2302 to 2925 of the family's 2925-position model. Lineage: Bacteria; Bacillati; Bacillota; Bacilli; Caryophanales; Staphylococcaceae. The record is from RNAcentral.
GGAGGCGCUCAAAGGUUCCCUCAGAAUGGUUGGAAAUCAUUCAUAGAGUGUAAAGGCAUAAGGGAGCUUGACUGCGAGACCUACAAGUCGAGCAGGGUCGAAAGACGGACUUAGUGAUCCGGUGGUUCCGCAUGGAAGGGCCAUCGCUCAACGGAUAAAAGCUACCCCGGGGAUAACAGGCUUAUCUCCCCCAAGAGUUCACAUCGACGGGGAGGUUUGGCACCUCGAUGUCGGCUCAUCGCAUCCUGGGGCUGUAGUCGGUCCCAAGGGUUGGGCUGUUCGCCCAUUAAAGCGGUACGCGAGCUGGGUUCAGAACGUCGUGAGACAGUUCGGUCCCUAUCCGUCGUGGGCGUAGGAAAUUUGAGAGGAGCUGUCCUUAGUACGAGAGGACCGGGAUGGACAUACCUCUGGUGUACCAGUUGUCGUGCCAACGGCAUAGCUGGGUAGCUAUGUGUGGACGGGAUAAGUGCUGAAAGCAUCUAAGCAUGAAGCCCCCCUCAAGAUGAGAUUUCCCAACUUCGGUUAUAAGAUCCCUCAAAGAUGAUGAGGUUAAUAGGUUCGAGGUGGAAGCAUGGUGACAUGUGGAGCUGACGAAUACUAAUCGAUCGAAGACUUAAUCAAA